This 451-nucleotide ribosomal RNA is filed under the name uncultured bacterium. RNAcentral describes it as "partial 16S ribosomal RNA". It matches the Rfam family "Bacterial small subunit ribosomal RNA", at positions 29 to 523 of the family's 1533-position model. The record is from RNAcentral.
AGCGAACGCUGGCGGCAGGCCUAACACAUGCAAGUCGAGCGGGCACCGCAAGGUGUCAGCGGCAGACGGGAGAGUAACACGUGGGAACGUGCCCUUCGGUUCGGAAUAACUCGGGGAAACUCGUGCUAAUACCGAAUACGCCCUUACGGGGAAAGAUUUAUCGCCGAUGGAGCGGCCCGCGUCUGAUUAGCUAGUUGGUGAGGUAAUGGCUCACCAAGGCGACGAUCAGUAGCUGGUCUGAGAGGAUGAUCAGCCUCACUGGGACUGAGACACGGCCCAGACUCCUACGGGAGGCAGCAGUGGGGAAUAUUGGACAAUGGGCGCAAGCCUGAUCCAGCCAUGCCGCGUGGAUGAUGAAGGCCUUAGGGUUGUAAAGUCCUUUUAACGGGGAAGAUAAUGACAGUCCCCGUAGAAUAAGCCCCGGCUAACUUCGUGCCAGCAGCCGCCGUAA